UAGGCGGUUUAAUAAGUGAAUAGUGAAACCUGGUGGCUCAACCAUACAGACUAUUAUUCAAACUGUUAAACUCGAGAAUGGUAGAGGUAACUGGAAUUUCUAGUGUAGGAGUGAAAUCCGUAGAUAUUAGAAGGAACACCGGUGGCGUAGGCAGGUUACNUGGGCCAUUUCUGACGCUAAGGCACGAAAGCGUGGGGAGCGAACCGGAUUAGAUACCCGGGUAGUCCACGCCGUAAACGAUGGAUACUAGCUGUUGGAGGUAUCGACCCCUUCAGUAGCGAAGCUAACGCGUUAAGUAUCCCGCCUGUGGAGUACGGCCGCAAGGCUAAAACAUAAAGGAAUUGACGGGGACCCGCACAAGCGGUGGAUUAUGUUCUUUAAUUCGAUGAUAACCGAAGAACCUUACCAGGGCUUGACAUCCAGGGAAGGUCUGCGAAAGUAGACUGUGCCUUUUGGAACCCUGUGACAGGUGAUGCAUGGCCGUCGUCAGCUCGUGUCGUGAGAUGUUAGGUUAAGUCCUUCAACGAGCGCAACCCUUGUGAAUAGUUGUAUUUUUCUAUUCAGACUGCCCCGGUAACGGGGAGGAAGGANGGGGAUGAUGUCAGGUCAGUAUUUCCCUUACGUCCUGGGCUAGAAACGUAAUACAAUGGCCAGUACAAUGCGCAGCGAA
RNAcentral lists this ribosomal RNA (670 nucleotides) under uncultured Candidatus Saccharibacteria bacterium. RNAcentral's name for it is "bacterial SSU rRNA". It matches the Rfam family "Bacterial small subunit ribosomal RNA", at positions 572 to 1253 of the family's 1533-position model. Lineage: Bacteria; Candidatus Saccharimonadota. The record is from RNAcentral.